UUUUUUUCAUUUAGCUCUGACGAGCACACCGGCUUAAUUACGUGAUAGUAUCAAGCAAUAAAAAAUUCAAUGUAUACUUGUAUAGUCGCCAUCAGAUAUAUCGGAGCGGCCAAGGUCCUCACAAAUAUCUGAACACGCCUCUAUCGUCGAGGCGGUAGAGUGCGUGUUCAGAUAUUUUUGAGCACCCCGGCCGUCCCGAUAUAUCUGAUGGCGACUGUACUUAGGUGUUAUUUGAUAGUGGAAAUCUGUGUCGUCCUGUUACAGAUAGGUUACCUAAGGCCAGUUAGCGUUUUUUCCUAUUAUUAUUAAAGGUCUGUGCACACCGGCUUGCGUGUCCGUGACGUGCACGUGCGCUAAAAUGUUGGAGCCGCACACGCACACGUCACGCAAGCGGUGUGCCGUCUCUCAUAAGGAUCUGUAUACUACAACGCCACACGCGCACGUGCUCGUCGCGCACACGCAGCCGGUGUGAACAGGCCUUAGAGAUGCUGUAAUAAAAUGCGACACUUUACGACAUAAGCGCUAAUAGCCUCAAGGCCCCUUUUUAUACCGAAGCUCAAAGUACUCGUAUCAAAAGAGUCAGGAUUCCUAGCUGAUUUAAAAGAGGUUCUUCCUAAUUAUGUGUGUGUUAAUACGGACCGGCCAAAAUACCUAAAUGUAAUAAAACUAAAUAAGCCACUGUUGACUUUGUAAAGGUUAGUAGAGUCGUUUCUACUGUUUGAUACGCUAGAUAGGAGGGGGUAAACAAAUUGAGAUUUUAGCUAAAUACUAAAAUGUGGAACGAAUUUUAGUUGAUACUAAAAAUGGUGGAAUGUGUUGUAGGCUGGACGUACUUCAUUUUUCUCACAUGUCAAAUCUUAUAGAAUCAGUAUCGAGAAUAAACAUCAAAUUUAGGUAUUUCAGUAUAUCUUAAACUCGUUAGACACAUGUUCAUUCAGAUAUUUUGUUGAUUGAUGAUUUCCAAUUCGAAUUAAAUUGAUGAACUACAAAUUCCACUUAAUAUAUCAUAUGUAAUAUCAUAUGCAUUUCGAUUAUCAUUGACGUUUUGUUGGAAAAGAGUUCUUGACACGCAAUUGUGUAAAAUUAAUUUUGCAAUAUCCCCCUAAGGCCCAAGGUCCUACCUAUAGCACUUAUUCAGUUCGAUGAAAUUUAAACCAUAUUCAAUUGGAACAGAGUUGCAUUUCUUUUGUUUCGUAAAAUUUUCAAACAAAUAGAAAUCAACUCUAUUCUCUGCGCUAUAGGUUCAAAUUUCAUUGGCAAAUUUUGGGUUUUUCAUUUGUACGGCUCGGCCUUAGGAGGAUAUUAUGGAAAAAGAAAAGUGGACCGACGACCCGGUCAAGAUUGCAGGAAACCAAGUAUAGUGCACGACUAGUCGUCGUGGAGAUCCCUGGGGGAAACCUUAGUCAUCCUUCUCAUGAUGUGACUAAAAUACAAACAUAAACACCACGUGUUAAGAACUCUUUUUAUAUUGUGUCUCAUUUAAUUUUACCCAUUGGUAUGAAGUUUUGUAUAAAAUCUCACGAACGAAUGUAUGUAAUUAGAUAUAAAAAAACAAAUGUAAUGCAUGACAACUGAAAGGAAUUGAUGAAGAGUUUCUUCAUUCGUGUAAUUUUUCCUUUUGCUAAUACGUUUACACAUUUUUGACUUAUCUUUGUGAUUAGACUAGGAGGUUUUAAUUGUUUUUGUUAUAUUUUCUUUUGUUUAGGAAGUGUUGUUUUUAUUUUCUUAAUCUUAUAUUGAUUAUUUGAGAUGUUUUUAUAUGGAUGUGGUCGCUAUACGAUCAGGACCCUUAGUGUAAGGCCUGAGUGGACGCUCGAGUUGAGCGUGCAGCGGGGCGGGGCGUGCGGCGUGCAUGUUAAACAAAUGCAAACGUAUAGGAGCGGCCUUAGUGCGCGCUGCUCAAGUCACUUGUGAGCCCGACGCCACGCUGCACGCCCCGCCGAACGCUCCGCUUCGAGCGUCCACUCAGGCCUUACACUUACGAGUAAAUGUAUUAGUAAAAGGAGCAUGUUAUGCUUAAACUUAACAAUUUAAUAUUAAAAUUGACAUUUAUUAAAUCGUAAUUGUAAAGUUUCUCAGUGAAACAAGAAUUUUGAGCGUUCGUGGACGUAUUUCAAGCGAAAUGCGUUUUUCCAUAGGUUUGUAGUCGAUUUUGAUUUAAUUGAUAUGUAUUCUAAGUGCCGACACAAACUAUCAUUACAAAUACUUAACCUUUUCGACGCCGUGUCAAACACAAAAGCUGUCACUCGGACGCACGUCACCGAAGUGUCAAAACUGAAAUUGAACUUUAUGCAUAUGCACCUAGGUCUGUGUUGCUCUGUGGUCUGUUAUGAUUACUCGGUCUGUGGCUUUGGACCUACGGUGCGGAUAUAUCGGUCAUUGGCGUCCAAAAGGUUAACUCGUCUAACAAAAUUACUUUACUUAUUAUUAUUUCAAAGGUACGUUAUUUGCUUGAUUUUGAUUAAAUCUACUGGCAUAUCUUUUGUUUAUAUAGCGGACAAUACAGUUAUCUCAGCGCUAAAUCACCUAAAAGCAGUUAAAAUGGGUCACGGUUCGUAUUUUCUUAUUGUUUGCACUUAGAAUACAUCGUCAAUAAUUAGUAGAAGAGUUGGAUGACUCCUGUAAAUUUCGCUUGACGCCAAAGAUGUAAUAUUCUUGUGUUCACCCUGUACUUGAAAAAUAAUUUAGAUUUACUUCCCAGUCUGUGGUUUACCAUUAUUUUUUACACAGAUAGUCUCAUAAUAUAAUUUUAGUUUAUUAGCUUUAGUUUUUUUCUGUAAAAUAGAACUCACUAACUUAUUACUUAAUCUGUAUGUAUAUUGAAGAGUACACCUAAUAUAUAUCCUUUAGUUAUAAUGUGUUAUAUAUAGCUAGUAUUAGGGCGUACUGCGCCAUUUAUUAUGUUGUAUGAUAUGUUGUUGAGAGUUGAUUACAACUAAGUCACUUACAAUAGUUUUAUUUAAAGAAUGAAAAUGUAUUUAUUUAUUAAAUAUGAAUUAACAUUCAUGAGAA
Long non-coding RNA from Cydia splendana, 3012 nucleotides. RefSeq lists it as uncharacterized. The transcript has 2 exons. Lineage: Eukaryota; Metazoa; Arthropoda; Insecta; Lepidoptera; Tortricidae. The record is from RefSeq and is a predicted model, not a curated record.